UCUGGUUGAUCCUGCCAGAGGUCACUGCUAUCGGGGUUCGAUUAAGCCAUGCGAGUUGAGAGGGUUUAGACCCUCAGCGGACUGCUCAGUAACACGUGGAUAACCUGCCCUAAGGUGGAGAAUAACCCCCCCGGGAAACUGGGGGGGAUAAUACUCCAUAGAUUAGAGAUACUGGAAUGUUCUUUAAUCGAAGUUGAGGCGCCUUAGGAUGGAUCUGCGGUCGAUUAGGUUGUUGUUGGGGUAACGGCCCAACAAGCCUGUAAUCGAUACGGGUUGUGGGAGCAAGAGCCCGGAGAUGGAAUCUGAGACACGAUUCCAGGCCCUACGGGGCGCAGCAGGCGCGAAAACUUUACAAUGCAGGAAACUGUGAUAAGGGAACCCCCCCGAGUGCCCGUAUACGCGGGCUGUCCAGGUGUUUAAAACGCAUCUGAAGAAAGGGCCGGGCAAGACCGGUGCCAGCCGCCGCGGUAAUACCGGCGGCUCGAGUGGUGGCCACUAUUAUUGGGCUUAAAGCGUCCGUAGCUGGACCCUUAAGUCUCUUGGGAAAUCCGCCGGCUUAACCGACGGGCGUCUAAGAGAUACUGGGGGUCUAGGGACCGGGAGAGGUGAGAGGUACUCCGGGGGUAGGAGUGAAAUCCUGUAAUCCCCCCCGGGGGACCACCGAUGGCGAAGGCAUCUCACCAGAACGGCUCCGACAGUGAGGGACGAAAGCUGGGGGAGCGAACCGGAUUAGAUACCCGGGUAGUCCCAGCCGUAAACUAUGCGCGUUAGGUGUACUGGUGACCACGAGUCACUGGGGGGGUGCCGAAGGGAAACCGUGAAACGUGCCGCCUGGGAAGUACGGUCGCAAGGCUGAAACUUAAAGGAAUUGGCGGGGGGGGAGCACCACAACGGGUGGAGCCUGCGGUUUAAUUGGACUCAACGCCGGAAAUCUCACCGGAUAAGACAGCGGAAUGAUAACCGGGCUGAAGACUCUGUUUGACCAGCUGAGAGGAGGUGCAUGGCCGUCGUCAGUUCGUACUGUGAAGCAUCCUGUUAAGUCAGGCAACGAGCGAGACCCACGCCAACAGUUGCUAGCUUGUUCUCCGGAACGAAGAGGACACUGUUGGGACCGCCUCUGCUAAAGAGGAGGAAGGAAUGGGCAACGGUAGGUCAGCAUGCCCCCCCGAAUUAUCCGGGCUACACGCGGGCUACAAUGGGCAGGACAAUGGGUAUCGACACCGAAAGGUGAAGGCAAUCUCUUAAACCUGUCCUAAGUUCGGAUUGUGGGCUGUAACUCGCCCACAUGAAGCUGGAAUCCGUAGUAAUCGCGUUUCAACAUAGCGCGGUGAAUGCGUCCCUGCUCCUUGCACACACCGCCCGUCAAACCAUCCGAGUGAGGUCUGGAUGAGCCUGUGGUUUUUGCCGCAGUCGAAUCUAGGUUUCGCAAGGAGGGUUAAGUCGUAACAAGGUAGCCGUAGGGGAAUCUGCGGCUG
RNAcentral lists this ribosomal RNA (1475 nucleotides) under Methanogenium cariaci JCM 10550. RNAcentral's name for it is "bacterial SSU rRNA". It matches the Rfam family "Archaeal small subunit ribosomal RNA". The record is from RNAcentral. Lineage: Archaea; Methanobacteriati; Methanobacteriota; Methanomicrobia; Methanomicrobiales; Methanomicrobiaceae.